RNAcentral lists this long non-coding RNA (5685 nucleotides) under Sus scrofa (pig). RNAcentral describes it as "lncRNA (ENSSSCG00045008132.1)". Lineage: Eukaryota; Metazoa; Chordata; Mammalia; Artiodactyla; Suidae. The record is from RNAcentral.
UUUUUUUUUUUUUUUUUUUUAGGGCCACACCUGUGGCAUAUGGAGGUUCCCAGCUAGAGGUCAAAUCAGAGCUGCAGCUGCCGGCCUACACCACAGCUCACAGCAAUGCUGGAUCCUUAACCCACUGAGCUAGGGUGGGGGUGGAACCCACAUCCUCAUAGAUACUCGUCCUGUUCAUUACUUCUGAGCCACAAUGGAAACUCUGACAUUCGUUCUUUUUUCAAACCUUAAUUAAGCACAGUGAGCCUGGCACUGGUGAUAAAGAGAGAUGAAGGACAGACAUUUUCCUCCAUGUAAAAAGUGCUCCCGGAAUUCCCGUUGUGGUGCAGUGGAAACGAAUCCAACUAGGAACCAUGAGGUUGUGGGUUUGAUCCCCGGCCUCGCUCAGUGGGUUAAGGAUCCAGCGUUGCCAUGAGCUGUGGUGUAGGUUGCAGACGCAGCUUGGAUCCUGCGUUGCUGUGGCUGUGGUGUAGGCUGGCAGCUGAAGUUCUGAUUCGACCCCUAGCCUGGGAACCUCCAUAUGCCGAGAAUGCAGCACUGAAAAGACAGAACAAACAAACGAAAAAACCAAAAUGGGCUCCCAAUGGAGUACACACAGGAAAGUGGAGCACAGGGGAAAGGUGUUCAUUUCAGACUGGAAUCAGGGAGGCGUUCUUGGACUUAAGUCUCCAUUAGACAAGCAGAAAUCAGCCAGCUCGAAAGACAAAGGAACACUCUGUGCAAAAGCAAGGAGGUAUGAAACAGGUUUGAGGGGCCUUACAACAACCAUCUGAAGGAGGCACUAAUUAUCAUCCACAUUUUACAGAUGAUGAGACUAAGGUCUAAAGCAAGCUUGGCAUUGUUUCAGUGCAAGGGGAGGAGCGAAUGGCAGAGACACAGGCAAGGGCUGAUUGUGAGACUUUUCCACACUUUGCUCACUGCUUUGAAUUGCAUCAUAAGUGCUCUCAGAGGGAUUUUAAACAGGGAAGUGACAAGAUCAGAUCUGGCCAUAAUGUAAAUGAUAGUGGGAGUGACCAAGAUUAGAAUGAGAGGGCUUUGUCUGCAGGCUAUCGGAGUAACUCAGAUGAAAAAUUAUGAAGGCAUGAAGCAGAACUGAGCGACUGCUAGAUAAGGCGAGUGAGGGAAGAGAAAAAAACACAGGAGCCAAUCACAGGUUUCUGAAUUGUGCAACAGAGUGGGUGACAAAGCUAAAUGCCAAGAAAGACAACACAAAAAAUAGCAGGAGGAGGUUGGAGAGGAUGCAUAGUACCCAUAGCUUCCACACCUGCUACUUCUCUGCAGCCCUCAGCACUUCUACCACUCCAGUUCCCAAGCAGCAAGUAGAAGGUACAGGGACCCUGGAGGACUUGGGGGACAAAGAGUCACCUACAAAGGAGCUGGAAAAGAAAAUGCCUACAGGCACUAGAAAGGAAAACCAGUGAUUUUGACCGCUGUAGAAAUCUUGGAACAUGAAGAUCUCAGAAGCUAUCAAUUCCGUGGCAUUUACUUCCAAUUCAUUACUUAUCAAUUCAUUCAGGUUCAAUGUACCUACAACACUUGGACUGCACCCCACAUUGCAGGGAGGUGCGCUUACUGUGAUGGAAGAUGGUUCCAGCCAACCAGGCUUCUGCUGACCUCUGGGCUGGCUCUGAUCCUGGCCUGAUGGUAAGAAUUUAGGGAGCCUGUUUCAAGAACUCUAUGGAACUACGAACUUCCUAGCUGAAAAAAAGGAAGUCUCGACUUUGUGAGGGGAAACAUGAGUAGGGUGGAGUCUACUCCACUCCCUAGCCCAGUAUCUGUACCUUUGUUUUUGGCCUAAGAUUUUGGAUUGGCUCAUCCCGUCAGAUCUUCAGCUCAGAAAAUUUGGGGAAAAAAAGAAAAAAAAAUUUUAACCCACUUAUUUUUAUUUUUUUUCUUUUUAGGCUGCACCUGUGGCAUACAGGAAGUCCCCAGGAAGGGGUCGAAUCAGAGCUGCAGCUGAAGGCCUAUACCAUAGCCACAGCAACUUGGGAUCCAAGCCGCAUCUGUGACCUAAACUGCUUGCUGCAAUGCUGGAUCCUUAACCCACUGAGGACAGGGAUCAAACCCGCAUCCUCAAGGAUACCCAACCCUUAGUUGGGUUCUUAACCCACUAAGCCACAGUGGGAACUCCUUAGUCUAGUUAUUAUCUCUCCAUCUUAAUGCAACUAAUGGUAAUUUUUUUUUUUUUUGUCUUUUUGCCUUUUCUAGGGCUGCUCCUAUGGAAUAUGGAGGUUCUGAGGCUAGGGGUCUAAUUUGAGCUGUAGCCGCUGGCCUACACCAGGGCCACAGCAAUGCGGGAUCCGAGCCGAGUCUGCAACCUACACCACAGCUCAUGGCAAUGCCAGAUCGUUAACCCACUGAGCAAGGGCAGGGAUUGAACCCGCAAUCUCAUGGUUCCUAGUCAGAUUUGUUAACCACUGAGCCACGACGGGAACUCCGGUAAAAUUUUGAUACUACAUUUCCUCCAAGUUUUCAAAAAUGUAGUCUUUCUUAAUAUACUUGUAAUCUCAAUGAGAAAUAUAAUUUUUCUUUCUGCUUCAUUACUUAAAAUUACUUAGUGUUCACUUUCUCAUUCCUUAAUCUCAGUUAUCAUUUUCAAUAGUAGAAAAAUAGUCCUUUAAAAUGACAUAAUUUACUUAACCAUUUAAACUGUACAUGUAAAUUGUUUCCAAUCUUUUGCUGCUUUAAAUUUACAUUAUAAAUAUAGCUUUUUCUCUAUUUUGGUUUAUUUCCUAAGAAUCCAGUCCCCAUCAUGUAGUGUUUAAAGUAUCUGAGUUCUGCAAGUAAUCUAACAGUAUACAGUAAGUAUAAUGAGUCAUAACCUAAUAUGUAUUGACCAAUACAUGUCAACUGAAAGGCAGAAGAGGCAUGUGUAGGCUUCGGAGUUGUGAAUCUGGGAUCACCUCAUCCAUACGUCUCAUCCUAAAAGGGCAACUCUAGGUAUGAUCAGUUCUAACAUCCUUUUAUGAACCGGUGCGAUAGAGAUCAUAGAAGACUUUCAGGAAUUAGAAUGACUCCCUUGAUUGUGGACUCUCCUAUCCGAUUUUAACUUUGAAAGAUUCAGCUAAAUGCAACGAACUUUCUUGAGCCCUACCAUAUACUCUAGUUCUAUGCCAGGAAGUAAGAUAAAGAGAGAAGACUUGGGCCCUGUCCUCAAAUGCUUGCAGACUCGAAUGCAAAAAAUGCUACAAGUAGAUACAGACACAGAAGGAUGGAUUUUCAGGGAAAAUAUCAAAAAGAUGAAGACUGAUAUGGUGACCUCUAAAGGAUAAAAAGUUCACUAAGGAAAGAACGGGAGGGCUGCUCCAAGCAAAGGCAUAGAGAGAUGAAAGAACUGUAUGACCUGCAUUAAAGCCAAAUCCUAGGAUUUCAGUCUUCAUGAAUGUAUGGUACAAAGGACAGUAACAAGAGGGGGAUGGCAAAGUAGAAGAGGGAUGACACCACAGAGGCUCUUUGGCUUUAAUGCAGGCUUAGAUUUCAUCUGUCAAGUCAAUGCAUCCAAAUUUGGGCCAAUAGGAAAAAUAACUGCAGGUGGCACAAGGACAAUGAUAUAUGUAUUUUUAAAAAUGCAUAUUCUAAAAGGACCUAUAGACAGCACAUCACUAUCGUGAUUUCAUAAAUGGUAUUACUUAUGAUGAAGCUACUGCAAUAAAAUGAGUCUUUAAAGAAUCCUGAAUGACUUGGAGUUCCCACUGUGGCUCAGUGGUAAUGGAACCUGACUAGUAUCUGUGAGGAUGCAGGUUCAAUCCCUGGCCCUGCUCAGUGGGAUCUGGCAUUGCUGUGAGCUGUGGUGUAGGUUGCAGAUGCUUGGAUCUGGCAUGGCUGUAGCAUAGGCCGGCAGCUACAGCUCCAAUUCGACCCCUAGCCUAGGAACCUCCAUAUACUGCAGAUGUAGUUCUAAAAAGAAAAAAAAAAGAGUCAUGAAUGACAAAGAAUGACAAAAUACUUUUUUUCUAUUAUGGGGAACCUUAAGGAGUUUCAAGCAAAAUGGUAACUUGAACUUAAGUUUUAGAAUGCUUCCUCUGGGAGCUCUCUUAUGGAGCAGCAGGUUAAGGAUCCAGUCUGGUCACUGCAGCAGCUUGAGUCACUGCUGUGGCUUGGAUUCAAUCCCUGUCCCAGGAACUUCCACAUGCAGUCAGCACAGCCAAAAACAAAACAAAACAAACAAAAAAAGAAAGUUCCCUCCAAUGUAAAGGAUAAAGUAUAAGGUGAGAAUGGUAAGAAAAUCAGUUAAACGACUGUUGCAAAGAUCCAGGAGAGAUGUGGUCAGAAGCUGAACUAGGUAGAGAGGAAUAAAAAUAAAGACUUAAGCUAUUUCGGACAUUGGGACCAAGGGAUGUGGAGAGUGACUGAUCAUGGGGGAAGAGAAAGUAGGAGAGUCUUGGGUGAUUCCUGAAGGAAAAGAGGUUUUUGUUAGUGUUUGUGUGCCUACCUGGACACAGAAAGUUGAAGUGGAACUAUUAAUGUUGGUUUGCGGCAUGUUUAGGACCCAUGUCGUGAGAAAUGAAGAUAAUGACAGUUUUAGUCUAGGAGAUAAAAAUAAAGAGAUACUUGAAAUAAAGGUGCCUGUAAACUCACAGUACAGACUUUGGGUAUGAGGGAUAAAGGUUAGGGAUAAUCAUUACUUUCUGUUGCCCUGAAUAGAAGAAAGGUCUUGCUUGAUCGUUGAUUAUAUAUUUUUCAAGUGGGACUUGCUAAGUUACAACUUUUUAAAUGUGUCUGCUUUUAAGAUUAAGUUACUGAAUCAAAAGCGUGAUUUAUAAAGUACGAAAGUACUAUUAAAUAUUCUCAACACAGAUUACCAAAUAUUAACAUAAGAAACUAGUUUAUCUUUGUUGGGAGAUUAACUCAGGACAAUUUCUUUUCCAAAGUGCACGAUGGGGAGUUCCCUGGUGGCCUAGUGGGUUAAGGUCCAAGCAUUGUCACUACUGUGGCUCAGGUUGCUGCUGUGGUGCAUGUUCAAUCCCUGGCCCGGUAACUUCUGCAUGCCAUGGGCACAGCAAAAGAAAAAGAAAAAAGAAAAAAAAAUCCGAAGUGCAAGACAGUAUAGGGUUAAAACCAAUCUGCACUCUUAUGUUUUUUUUGUUUUUUUUGUCUGUACCUGUGGCAUGCAGCAAUCAGAGCAGGGUACAACCUGUCUCUACCACGGUGACCUGAAUCACAGCAGUGACCCAAGCCAUAGUAAUGACAAUGCUAGAUCCUUAGCCCACUUGGCCACAAGUCAAGUCCUACAAUAGUAAUGACAAUGCUAGAACCUUAGCCCACUUGGCCACAAGUCAAGUCCUACAACUGCUUUUAGUUCUCAAGACAUCUGUUCCACCUGUAUGUUCUCUCAGUACUUACCAUAGUACAUAUAUUGUAAAAAUUUAUACUGUCAUUCCUUUCUCCCAAACUAAAUUGUGAGCUCGGUGAGGGAAAAGGUUGUUUCUUAUUCAUCUUUAUACUAUUAGUAACCAACACCUAACAUACUGUUAGAGAUUAAUUAAUAUUAAUAUUUAUGUAUUCAUGAAUACAUCAAUGAUCAAAACGUAGGGAUAUUGGAACAGACAACAUUUAUUUUUGUCUUUUUUUUGUGGCAUAUGGAGGUCCCCAGGCUAGGGGUCCAAUUGGAGCUGUAGCUGCUGGCCUACACCACAGCCACAUCACCUCGGGAUCCGAGCCGCGUCUGCGACCUACACCACAGCU